This 253-nucleotide ribosomal RNA is filed under the name uncultured bacterium. RNAcentral describes it as "partial 16S ribosomal RNA". It matches the Rfam family "Bacterial small subunit ribosomal RNA", at positions 524 to 776 of the family's 1533-position model. The record is from RNAcentral.
UACGUAGGGGGCAAGCGUUAUCCGGAUUUACUGGGUGUAAAGGGAGCGCAGACGGCAGUGCAAGUCUGGAGUGAAAGCCCGGGGCCCAACCCCGGAACUGCUCUGGAAACUGUGCGGCUAGAGUACUGGAGGGGCAGGCGGAAUUCCUAGUGUAGCGGUGAAAUGCGUAGAUAUUAGGAGGAACACUAGUGGCGAAGGCGGCCUGCUGGACAGUAACUGACGUUGAGGCUCGAAAGCGUGGGGAGCAAACAGG